ACAACCAGAUGUAGGACACUUUUGUAGUUAAGGGAAAAAUUGAAAAAAAAAAAAUUGAAAACAGAAACAUUCACUUUUUAAGUUGAAGUUACCCAUGAUUCAAAAAUCAUCUCUGAAAUUGAACAGCAACUUGAAAAGCAGUCACAGUAGAAUCUUCAAUUUCAUCUUUAAAACUCUAAUAAAUGGCAAAAAUGGACAAAUUGAGUAAAAGGCCUAGCAGGCAAUGUAGACAAAGCUAAAAAUGCGAUGCCGAUGGUCAGGGUUUUUUAGACCCAUGUGAAAUGGAAUUGAAAACAAGUUCAACACCCAAACAAAAAAAAAAGAAAAAUUGAAAAGAUUCGGUUUAAGUUUCGACCCAGACAUACCCUAAAUGUAUUUUAGAGGUAAUAAAAUCUCUUAAAAGAAGGAAAAAACCUAAUGUCCUUAUAUGAGGUAGUCUUUUGAAUUCGAUUGGUCCCAGACAAAAGUCAAUAUGCCUCACGGCUGUGGAUGUGUACCUCAUAUUGGAGCCAUUCAAAGGGGUAUGGCUCCACUCGACGUUUUCGUGCCCCAACUCUGUUCAUUCAUUAGAGGACGAGGCAUUUCGCGGGGCGCAGUCAAUGCCAUUGAAUGUUUGGGAGCGCAAACAGAAGGCAGCCGUUAGACUCAAAAUCAUCGCAAUAUUCGGUUUCAUUUUCUCUUCACAGGAGCUGCACGUGUGGGUGACUGCGUGAGUAUCUGUGCGACAGAGCGUUUGUUUCUGUGAGGGUGCGUGAGUAUCUGUGUGACGGGACGUGCCAUUAAUGGCGGAAAUUUCAUUUCAGUGUAACGGUGCGCCUAAUAAAAUAUUUAUUCACCGACCAAACAGGUGCGAAAUUUUAAAUGCAAGCAUUUGCUUUUUACACUCUCCUGUUUUCGUAAUGUAAUGUAAUUUUAUUUACUUGAACACUCUGUUGAAAGAAGCCAAAAUUGUCCCCGAAAAUUUUUCUCCCCCCCAAACUGAAUUUGUUUCUGUUUCGUUCAAUUUGCGUUCAUGGGAUGUGCGAAAUGAUUUCGAGUGUGCACUUCAUUAACAAUCAGCAUCGUAAUGAGAGGAUAUAUAAGGACACAGGAUACAGGAUCGGUUGGCAGUGAGGCG
This is a long non-coding RNA of Drosophila ananassae, 1117 nucleotides long. RefSeq lists it as uncharacterized. Lineage: Eukaryota; Metazoa; Arthropoda; Insecta; Diptera; Drosophilidae. The transcript has 2 exons. The record is from RefSeq and is a predicted model, not a curated record.